GUAAAAAUGUUAAACACACCCAUUUUAUUUGUAGUUUGCUAACAGCUGAUACUAGGUGGGGUCAUUGGGCUACUGUGAUGGGUUAAAGAAGUUCCCGGGACUACUUUUGUUACGGCAGUGCACAUAGAACUUUCUUGCCAGCGUGGCUGUAAAGAAUUUCAUGUAAUGUUUCAGUUGCAUAAUGAAUUAAAAGUUCAUAUCUGAAAUCCUGAUUUUGAAUUACAUAUGAUAUCGCCGUAAGAGGUUAGCCUGUCUGAGCACCAGACAGAAUUUAGGGAAUCAAAGAGAAGAAGCUUGGGAAGAAGGGGUCCCCUGCAUCUGAUAGACGUACUUCUCCGGAAGGCGCACUCCCUAGUCAAUGCUAGUGUUUUUAAGGGACCCUGAUGGAGUAGGUUUGGGAUGUGCCCGGAGAGACUGGGACCUGGAGGAAACUCUCUUCCGGGACGAAGCUGCUGGGAGGAGGCAGAAACCCCCUUCUCGCCUCUCUCCGCUUGAGCGGCCUGCUAGUCUCUCCCAUUGUGGGCCUACACGGGAGCCGGCUGGAUGCGAGUUAGUAACGUGCGUCGCAGACUCUAUGUGGGAGGUGGCCUCAGCGCUGAGAGACGGACCAGCGAGUCAGGAAUGUGCACAGGGUACACCGAGAGUGGCUUAUUUCUGCUCUGUGAUGUCCAGACCUCAGCCGGGAAGAUCAGAAGGCUGGAGGAGCUGGGAAGUUGGGGGCUAGAGUUGCCUUAAUAUUUCUGCACUCAAGUGUCUCUGGCCUGGCCCGGAUGGCUCCGUGACUAGGACUGUCGAGCCGAGCCCCUGCACACGGCCUUCCCGGGGGGCUCGGCUUCCUCUCCGCCCGCGGUCUCUGGCGGUCCGCCUUCAGAGCCUCCCGUGUGAGGGUCCCAGCACGCAGAGCGGACGCUGCGUUCGCCUGACGUCACCCAGCGUUGGAAUCCAGAGAGCAUGACUUCGUACUCUGUUGGGUGAAGGGGUCAUAAGGCCACCUUGAUUCAAACGGAAGGAAAUAGAAGCUAGUGGGGAAGGGCAAGAUCCCAUUAUGGAUCAGGACGGAUGGCAGAGAUUUUGCGGCUCACUUGGGACGUGUCCUACGUCUGUCGCAGGGACGUGCCGUGCCUCUCUCGUUCCUACCCUGUUGUAGACUUCACACCCAAGGACGUGGCCUGGGCGGUGGUUUUUGUGAGUUUUAAUUGUAUUGUCGAAAGUGGUUUCCAUUUGUUGCUGGUUUCUUAACACUUUUUAAAAGUUAUUUUUGGAGGAA
Molecule: long non-coding RNA, 1267 nt
Organism: Suricata suricatta (meerkat)
Lineage: Eukaryota; Metazoa; Chordata; Mammalia; Carnivora; Herpestidae
Exons: 2
Source: RefSeq, a predicted model, not a curated record